This 253-nucleotide ribosomal RNA is filed under the name uncultured bacterium. RNAcentral describes it as "partial 16S ribosomal RNA". It matches the Rfam family "Bacterial small subunit ribosomal RNA", at positions 524 to 776 of the family's 1533-position model. The record is from RNAcentral.
UACGAGGGGUGCAAGCGUUGCUCGGAAUUAUUGGGCGUAAAGGGUUGGUAGGUGGUCUUGUUUGUCUAGGGUGAAAUCCCAUGGCUUAACUGUGGAAGUGCCCUAGAAACGGCAAGACUAGAGUCCUAGAGGGGUUUGUGGAAUUCCCGGUGUAGCGGUGAAAUGCGUAGAGAUCGGGAGGAACACCAGCGGCGAAGGCGGCAAACUGGAUAGGCACUGACACUCAACAACGAAAGCGUGGGGAGCAAACAGG